CUGCGUACCUUUUGUAUAAUGGGUCAGCGACUUAUAUUCUGUAGCAAGGUUAACCGAAUAGGGGAGCCGGAGGGAAACCGAGUCUUAAUUGGGCGUUAAGUUGCAGGGUAUAGACCCGAAACCCGGUGAUCUAGCCAUGGGCAGGUUGAAGGUUGGGUAACACUAACUGGAGGACCGAACCGACUAAUGUUGAAAAAUUAGCGGAUGACCUGUGGCUGGGGGUGAAAGGCCAAUCAAACCGGGAGAUAGCUGGUUCUCCCCGAAAGCUAUUUAGGUAGCGCCUCGUGAAUUCAUCUCCGGGGGUAGAGCACUGUUUCGGCUAGGGGGCCAUCCCGGCUUACCAACCCGAUGCAAACUGCGAAUACCGGAGAAUGUUAUCACGGGAGACACACGGCGGGUGCUAACGUCCGUCGUGAAGAGGGAAACAACCCAGACCGCCAGCUAAGGUCCCAAAGUCAUGGUUAAGUGGGAAACGAUGUGGGAAGGCCCAGACAGCCAGGAUGUUGGCUUAGAAGCAGCCAUCAUUUAAAGAAAGCGUAAUAGCUCACUGGUCGAGUCGGCCUGCGCGGAAGAUGUAACGGGGCUAAACCAUG
This 593-nucleotide ribosomal RNA is filed under the name Salmonella enterica. RNAcentral's name for it is "partial 23S ribosomal RNA". It matches the Rfam family "Bacterial large subunit ribosomal RNA", at positions 597 to 1191 of the family's 2925-position model. RNAcentral also lists the same sequence under 2 other names. Lineage: Bacteria; Pseudomonadati; Pseudomonadota; Gammaproteobacteria; Enterobacterales; Enterobacteriaceae. The record is from RNAcentral.